CCUACGGGAGGCAACAGUGGGGAAUAUUGCACAAUGGGGGAAACCCUGAUGCAGCGACGCCGCGUGAGUGAAGAAGUAUUUCGGUAUGUAAAGCUCUAUCAGCAGGGAAGAAAAUGACGGUACCUGAUUAAGAAGCCCCGGCUAACUACGUGCCAGCAGCCGCGGUAAUACGGAGGAUGCGAGCGUUAUCCGGAUUUAUUGGGUUUAAAGGGUGCGCAGGCGGGGGUGCAAGUCAGAAGUGAAAACCCAGGGCUCAACCUUGGGACUGCUUUUGAAACUGAGUAGCUAGAGUGCAGGAGAGGUAAGCGGAAUUCCUAGUGUAGCGGUGAAAUGCGUAGAUAUUAGGAGGAACACCAGUGGCGAAGGCGGCUUACUGGACUGUAACUGACGUUGAGGCUCGAAAGCGUGGGGAGCAAACAGGAUUAGAUACCCCUGUAGUC
RNAcentral lists this ribosomal RNA (440 nucleotides) under uncultured bacterium. RNAcentral's name for it is "partial 16S ribosomal RNA". It matches the Rfam family "Bacterial small subunit ribosomal RNA", at positions 338 to 795 of the family's 1533-position model. The record is from RNAcentral.